Long non-coding RNA from Lathyrus oleraceus (garden pea), 998 nucleotides. RefSeq lists it as uncharacterized. The transcript is spliced from 3 exons. The record is from RefSeq and is a predicted model, not a curated record. Lineage: Eukaryota; Viridiplantae; Streptophyta; Magnoliopsida; Fabales; Fabaceae.
CCAACAAAGCUCUCUCGUUCUCCUCUAUCACUCUCACCAUAUGAAACCCUAACAGAGUUAGGUAUCUGAUAAACCGUCCUCUGCUGAGCAAACAUUACUCAGCGGGGCCAGCUGAACUCGUUUUUGGAGGAAAGAAGUGUGGGUUUGGAAAUCUUUUCUUGGUUGGCAAAAGAAUUAGCUGGAAAGCCUAUACAAGAAGCACCUCAAGACCAACCUUUUCCCAACAUGCCUUAAAAGACGAUGGAAGAUAUGGGUCGUAGACUCCAGCACAUUUUAUGUUCUCCACAUUUAUGUAAUGAUAUUCAUAUUUCUUUUUUGUUAGAUUGUGAUUUUUCUCAGCAAACAUUACUCAGCGGGGCUGGCUGAACUCGUUUUUGGAAGAAAGAAGUGUGGGUUUGGAAAUCUUUUAGCUGUUUUUGAUUGGGAGUUCUUACACUUACUUCAACUCCAACACUUAUCAAGCACUAAUUUCUUGGUUGGCAAAAGAAUUAGCUGGAAAGCCUAUACAAGAAGCACCUCAAGACCAAACUUUUCCCAACACGCCUCAAAAGACGAUGGAAGGUAUGGGUCGUAGACUCCAGCACUUGAAAGGAUUGAGAACGGUAAGUAUACUAGUUGUCGAUAUUUGAACUUGAGUUAUAUAACAGAUUGGUUUAUGUUUUCUUAUUUUGAGCUUUGUAUCAUGUACAAUAGUCUGGGUUUGUGGUUUUGUAUUCUGAGCUUCGUAUGAUACAAAAUUUGUUGGUUUUGUGCCGUUUAUUUUGUAUUUGUUAGAUUGAAGGAAUGCUCUGCAUUCUCUUUUCAAAGGAAAAUACACUUUGUGUAUUAUUGAAUAUAUUGAAUGAAUGAAAACAGUUGCAACAGAAUUAUAUAUAGUUGAGUUAGUCUAACAGAAACCUAACAAACUCACUCAACCAUAAUGAAACAGUCAAAACAGAAAGCUAGUAAUAGCAGAAAGUAAGCAAAGUGCCUAAAGACUAGCUUAGCUCUAACACUCC